RNAcentral lists this ribosomal RNA (468 nucleotides) under uncultured bacterium. RNAcentral describes it as "partial 16S ribosomal RNA". It matches the Rfam family "Bacterial small subunit ribosomal RNA", at positions 28 to 507 of the family's 1533-position model. The record is from RNAcentral.
GACGAACGCUGGCGGCGUGCUUAACACAUGCAAGUCGAACGGAAAGGCCCUGCUUUUGUGGGGUGCUCGAGUGGCGAACGGGUGAGUAACACGUGAGUAACCUGCCCUUGACUUUGGGAUAACUUCAGGAAACUGGGGCUAAUACCGGAUAGGAGCUCCUGCUGCAUGGUGGGGGUUGGAAAGUUUCGGCGGUUGGGGAUGGACUGGCGGCUUAUCAGCUUGUUGGUGGGGUAGUGGCUUACCACGGCUUUGACGGGUAGCCGGCCUGGGAGGGUGACCGGCCACAUGGCUACUGAGAUACGGACCAGACUCCAACGGGCGGCAGCAGUGGGGAAUAUGGCACAAUGGGCGGAAGCGUGAUGCAGCAACGCCGCGUGCGGGAUGACGGCCUUCGGGUUGUAAACCGCUUUCGACUGUGACGAAGCGUGAGUGACGGUAAUGGGUAAAGAAGCACCGGCUAACUACGUG